This 496-nucleotide ribosomal RNA is filed under the name uncultured bacterium. RNAcentral's name for it is "partial 16S ribosomal RNA". It matches the Rfam family "Bacterial small subunit ribosomal RNA", at positions 29 to 507 of the family's 1533-position model. The record is from RNAcentral.
AUGAACGCUGGCGGCGUGCCUAAUACAUGCAAGUCGAGCGAACAGAUGAGGAGCUUGCUCCUCUGACGUUAGCGGCGGACGGGUGAGUAACACGUGGAUAAUCUACCUAUAAGACUGGGAUAACUUCGGGAAACCGGAGCUAAUACCGGAUAAUAUAUUGAACCGCAUGGUUCAAUAGUGAAAGACGGUUUUGCUGUCACUUAUAGAUGGAUCCGCGCCGCAUUAGCUAGUUGGUAAGGUAACGGCUUACCAAGGCAACGAUGCGUAGCCGACCUGAGAGGGUGAUCGGCCACACUGGAACUGAGACACGGUCCAGACUCCUACGGGAGGCAGCAGUAGGGAAUCUUCCGCAAAGGGCGAAAGCCUGACGGAGCAACGCCGCGUGAGUGAUGAAGGUCUUCGGAUCGUAAAACUCUGUUAUUAGGGAAGAACAAAUGUGUAAGUAACUAUGCACGUCUUGACGGUACCUAAUCAGAAAGCCACGGCUAACUACGUG